Molecule: long non-coding RNA, 1471 nt
Organism: Gopherus flavomarginatus (Mexican gopher tortoise)
Lineage: Eukaryota; Metazoa; Chordata; Testudines; Testudinidae
Exons: 2
Source: RefSeq, a predicted model, not a curated record
CCAACAGGGGUGAGAGUUAAGGAGGACGCAUACCCACUCUAGCCAUGCUAAUGUUGACUGAGGAGUGUUUAGGGAAGGUACUGACCCCACCCCUCGGACACCAAUUGUCUCAGAACACUGAUUUUAUCCUUGCAAGGAUAACACCUUGAUGUGGUUCUCCUCAUGCACUGUUACAAGCAUCUAAGAUGAUGCUCGCUCUAGUCAACAGCAGGAUGUUCUACUAAUGGAAAACUCCAACAGCCUUCAAAUGCUGUAAGCAGCUAUGACUGCAGCCCAGCUCUGUUAGUAACUUGUUCAAAGCCUGAGUAGGGCUGCAGAUUUUUCCUAAGCUUCUGACUAAAGAUAGCAUGUUUCAGAACCCUGGAUCUGCUAGAGAGUUGGCUCAGUUCUCUCCCUCGGACUUCAUUCUGCAUCUGGUCAAGCAACAAGCCAUCAGCUAGCAUCAUAUUGUUACUCAAUUUUGCUGUAGGUAAAGCUGAGGUGUUUGGCAGUGCAACUGAGACUAAUCAGUGCUAAAAGCCCAUGUUUGUGUUAUGCACUUUUUUGGCCAGUACGUGACAGGAUGGUUUUUACCUGGUUCUGAGAUGGCAAGAAUUCCUCUGUGGUAUUAGAGUUCAGUCCCAACAGUGAGGGAGGAUGGGGGGCUAUUUUGCUUAUCUGCCUUUCUCCUUAGAAAGUCAGCAGCCCAGGAUUUGUGCCAUGCCAUCUCUGCCAUGCAGUAGGUAAGGGAUACUUAGCAACGCAAGUUGUCUUUGGGAAUUGCUCCACUUUCUAGAGGCCUGGCUGGUCACUGCCAGAAUCUUAAGAUCCCAGAGUUCUACAGCCUGUUCUGGAAGAGACAGCAUGGAAUUCCCUAGGUUAAGGCUACCAAGUGGAGGUUUUUCUUAAAAGGUAAGUGGGCAUUUUUACAUGAAGGUCAUAGACUUUAAGGUCAGAAGGGGCCAUUAUGAUCAUCUCAUCUGACCUCCUGCACAAUGCAGGUCACAAUUUCACCCACCCACCCAAGUAACAAACCCCUAACCUAUGUCUGAGUUACUGAAAUCCUCAAAUUCCUUUCAGAACAGGGAAAUGGCCACAGAGCUUUAUCAAUAUUCAUUUGAAGGGCUGCUGCUUCUGUUGAUGCCCCUUUAUUUACAAUUUAUGAAAGACUGGCCAUCUUACCUUUGUAGGUAAAUUUUGAUAUGAGACAAGCAAACAUGCUUUCUCCCUUAUAUAUAAAGCAAGCUAAAAAGGGGGAAAAGAGCCUUUUAAGUCUUAGCACCUUUUUGAUUUGAGAUUAUUUGCCUUUGAAGCAUGCAGGCCCUGCAUCUGGAGCACUGAAGUUGUCAAACUGAACCUUGAUGGAUGAAAGCCAACCUAUUAAGUAUCAUUAAUGUGUAGCUGACUUAAUUACUAAGAUCAGAUUGCUUUGAGGGGAUUUAUGCAGGAAUUAUAUGCAUUUGAUCACCAAGAAUUAAAGCAGUAAAUUGUA